CAGGAAGGGGAACAUCACACACCGGGGCCUAUCAUGGGGAGGGGGGAGGGGGGAGGGGGGAGGGAUUGCAUUGGGAGUUAUACCUGAUGUAAAUGACGAGUUGAUGGGUGCAGCACACCAACAUGGCACAAGUAUACAUAUGUAACAAACCUGCACGUUAUGCACAUGUACCCUACAACUUAAAGUAUAAUAAUAAUAAAUAAAUUUAUAAAAAAAAAAAAAAGAAAAUUCUGUUGUUGGUUAGUUUCUCAUAGUUGUCAAUAAGGCUAAAAUAGUUAACAACGCUGAAUUCUUGUAUUUCUGUGUCGUUCUGCAUCUUCUGAGAAUUGUUUGUGAAGAAAGAAUUAAUUGAAUAUUUAUUGGGGAAAGUACAUAUAAAAGAUAAAGUGGGAGGGGCAGGAGAAGAUGAGGAGAGCUUUCAGAGGACAAUACAGCUCUCAGAAUAAAGAGAGAAAAAAAAAAAUAAAGAAGGGAGAUUGGGUGGAGUGAGCCUCAGAUCACUGCACCGUUCUGAGAAAGCUUAGUCCAAGCUAAUGGAUAAUUAUUGAAAAGUGCUUGCCAAUUAGAGAAUUCCUCCGCUGGGCAAGAACAACCUACGCUGAUCAUGUGAGUCAUUUACUAUCGGCACGCUGGGAGAAGUGUGGCCAUGACGCUAAUCCAACAGUGGACCUGCAGGAGCAGCGGCUGUCGAGCAUCAGUCAAUGUUUUGCACACAGGUUCUCCUGAGUGGCACUCCGUCUCCACCAGGAUGCUGUUACUGCUCCUGUAUCACCAAAGCCGAUGCCCUAAAGAUCAGAGCUGCAGACACAAAGGAAGGCCAAUGCAUGAGAAGAAAUCAGUGGGAAAGGGAGUAAGAAUCGCAGUCCCACCUUGACGGCACUCUCAGGCAAGAGGCCGUCUCUUUCCGACGCUGUCAGGUAAGAAACACACAGAAAGGUUGAGAGACAAAGACCUCUCUGUUUACUGACAGGCUGUUUGAUAAGUUCAGGCUUUUAAAAAAAACGUGUUUUUGUUUGUGGUUUUAACCUACUUCCAUUCGAUGUUCUAGUAACACUGUGGCAAAGGAAGUGGUCCCCUAGCUCCUAUACCAUCCUGUAAUCACGGUUAUUUUGGAACCACAGGGGCAGAAAGGAGGUGAGCCCUUUCCUAGUCACCAUAAGAGUCACAGAUGAUACCCCUAUAACAGAAACAGGUUAACAAGAGAAAAGCAUAACAAAAGUAUUUGAUCAUAGUUUUAUGUGACAUGAGAGCCUUUGGAAUGAAGAGAACUAAAGAUAUAGACAAAACUGUCAAUUUGUAUGUUUGGGUUCAGUGAAGAAAGGACAUCCACAUCCACGUAGAAAUGUGAUUAGACUAAAGGGGUGUGGAUGAUCUAAUGCAGUAGAUGGACGGGAGUAGCCCAGCGGGGCCUGCUUGUCCAGAUUCUUCUCUGCCUCUCUGAGCAGCAUUCCUUCCUCCUGGGCAUGGGCCAAGACCCCUUUGGAAUGAGGGUCUCAUGACUUACUAUUAAAGUAAGUCAAAGAAUUUCUUUAUGGCCAGCUCUUAGGUAGAAACGCGGGGGAAGGUUCAAGUAAUACUUCUGGGUUUUGUGGCUGGCUUCGGGAAGGAGGAGUUCCAGUUACUACUACUACGAUCCACCUUGGGGAAGAUUCUAGUUUCUAGGGCAUUCAGGGACUGUUAAUAUGAUUUUCAGAACUUGGACACUUAGGAGAACAUUUAUACAAGCUUACUUGGUUUGAAUCUUGAAUCUGAAGUGGUGGAUUAAGAUACAGGAAGAUUGCAAGGUGCAGACAUCAGAGGCUGUUGCCUGGAGUCUAGAAGAAGACGGUGGAAUCCAGGAACGUUUCCUGUACGGGAGUCUGGAAAGGGUCCUCUAAUGCAGCCACCACUUGCAGGUGUGAAAGGCAGGCAGCUGAUUUGUAUCAGUCAACAAGCAGAGGUGCCAUAGCAUGAGUUUGGGUUUUACGGAUUUUUUAUACCUGUUCUCAGAGGCAAAACAGAGAAAGAACUGAGGACAAGUCUGAGUUAUUGGAAGACCAUUCCUAGCAGCAUUGGCAUGUUAAGCCACUUUCCGAGAUAGGAGCUCAGGCUUCAGAUAACAGAAUAGGAAUAUAGUUAAGUGGCUUGAGGUAAUGGGUGAGAAUUAAGGUUUUAUGAACAACAAUUAUGGUCUUAUGAAGAGGCCGGAUUCCAGGUGUGGAACGCUCUGUAUAAGCUGGCUCUAAGUCCAGUAAUGCCCGCUAACAGUAUAUGGUAGCAAUAUACUUCAGAAUAUCAUAUAUAUAUAUAUAUAUAUAUUUUUUUUUUAUGGCUACUGGGAGAACUGGCUUCCACCCAAGCCUCUUCAGUGGUAUGGACAGCAGCAAGCCAAGUGUUCUGAGGUUCCUUUUACUUGGUAGAUCCCUAACUCCGUGUAGAAUCAGUUGAUGACUGAAAUUCGAGACUGGCUGCGUAAAAGACUAAGAAAGCAGGGCCAGAUGCGGUGGCUCAUGCCUGUAAUCCCAGCACAUCGGGAGGCCAAGGCAGGUGGAUCACCUGAGGUCAGGAGUUCUAGAUCAGCCCAGCCAACCUGGUGAAACCCCGUCUCUACUAAAAAUACAAAAAUUAGCCAACAUGGUGGUGCGAGCCUGUAGUCCCAGCUACUCAGGAGGCUGAAGCAUGAGAAUCGCUUGAACCCAGGAGGAGGAGGUUGCAGUGAGAUGAGAUAGUGCCACUGUACUCCAGCCUGGGUGACAGAGCGAGACUCCAUCUCAAAAAAAAAGAAAAGAAGGCCGGGCGCGGUGGCGCAAGCCUGUAAUCCCAGCACUUUGGGAGGCCGAGACGGGCGGAUCACAAGGUCAGGAGAUCAAGACCAUCUUGGCUAACACGGUGAAACCCCGUCUCUACUAAAAAAUACAAAAAAAUUAGCCGGGGGUUGUGGCGGGCGCCUGUAGUCCCAGCUACUCGGGAGGCUGAGGCAGGAGAAUGGCGUGAACCUGGGAGGCGGAGCUUGCAGUGAGCUGAGAUCUGGCCACUGCACUCCAGCCCGGGCAAGAGAGCGAGACUCCGUCUCAAAAAAAAAAAAAAAAAGGAAAAAAAAGAACAAAACAAAAAAAGAAAACAGUGGUGUGGGGCAUGUCCACUGACUUGGAUCUUUCUUCUGAUUCAUAUUCUUGAAGCACUCAGUCACUGGGUUAAGGGUCCAUUAAGUGAGGCGCCUUCACCCUGCCUGCCACGUGAUUCUCACUGCUGCUUGAUCUUCACUGGGGUUUUGCAUUCUGCUCUACCUCACUGGUAUGAGGUCACUGGUAAGAAAACCAGUGCUACCUAUAUAUUUCUUGCCUCAAGGCAAAACUAGUCCUAGAUUCUGAAAAUCAGAAGCGCAGAUCCAGUAGGUCUAAUUUUCAAAGGUAAGAGGAAUGCAGCAGUAUGACACCAAACAGAUUACAACACCUUCAUCAGGGUGAAAUAAAUGCUUCUGACAUUUUUAUCGUGUUUUCUUCUCCAAGGUUAUGGCAUCCUAUGCUGUUGGGAUUUUUUUUUUUUUUUUUGUAUCUUCUGUUUUUCUUUUUAGUUUUCCCUUUGGUUUGAAUGUUCAUUGAAAAUAAAACUUUCAACAUUUUCAGCUCCACAAACCUUCCUUCUUA
Macaca mulatta (Rhesus monkey) is the source of this 3626-nucleotide long non-coding RNA. The record is from Ensembl. Lineage: Eukaryota; Metazoa; Chordata; Mammalia; Primates; Cercopithecidae.